RNAcentral lists this ribosomal RNA (359 nucleotides) under uncultured bacterium. Its description in RNAcentral is "bacterial SSU rRNA". It matches the Rfam family "Bacterial small subunit ribosomal RNA", at positions 28 to 414 of the family's 1533-position model. The record is from RNAcentral.
GAUGAACGCUGGCGAGAUGCUUUACACAUGCAAGUCGUACGAGAGUUUUAACUCAAGUGGCGGACGGGUGAGUAACACGUAAGAAUUUGCCUUUAGGAGGGGGACAACAAUUGGAAACGAUUGCUAAUACCCCAUAUGCUUUUGAGUGAAAUGGAUUUUUCCGCCUAAAGAGAAGCUUGCGGCUGAUUAGCUUGUUGGUAAGGUAAUGGCUUACCAAGGCGACGAUCAGUACUGGUUUGAGAGGGCGAUCAGAUACACUGGAACUGAGACACGGUCCAGACUCCUACGGGAGGCAGCAGUGGGGAAUUUUCCGCAAUGGGCGAAAGCCUGACGGAGCAAUCUCGCGUGAGGGAUGACGG